GUUAAAUGGUAAUUACGAUGAAAAGUAAGGCCACGCGGAUUGGAAGAGGGUGUGAGUUGACAUUGAAAACAUGGUUGAGUAAGGGAGCAACCAAACCAAAGGAAACGCAAAAGAGAGGAAGUAGAAGAAGAUAAUAUAAUUAGGCGAGUGUUGAAGAAAGGGUUAAGUUUGAAGCGAUGAGUUCGGGAAGCCAUAGUGAUAAGGAGAAGGACAAGCAGAGGGUGAGCCGCACGUCGUUGAUACUGUGGCAUGCUCACCAAAACGACGCCGCAGCGGUGCGGAAGCUCCUGCAGGAGGAUCCUUCGCUGGUGACGGCAAGGGAUUACGACAACCGCACCCCGCUCCACGUCGCAUCCCUCCACGGCUGGAUCGACGUCGCUAAGUGUUUGAUCGAGUUCGGCGCCGAUGUCAACGCGCAAGAUCGUUGGAAAAACACCCCUCUGGCGGAUGCGGAAGGAGCUAAGAAGACUGAUGUGAUCGAGCUUUUGCAAUCUCAUGGAGGCUCUUCUUAUGGGCAAACUGGUAGCCAUUUUGAACCGAAGCCUGUUCCGCCGCCGUUGCCGAAUAAGUGUGACUGGGAAAUCGAACCUACCGAGCUUGACUUCUCCACCUCCACGAGAAUUGGAAAGGGGUCUUUUGGUGAGAUUUUAAAAGCCCAGUGGCGUGGAACACCAGUUGCUGUUAAACGUAUUCUUCCAUCUCUUUCAGAAGAUAGAUUGGUGAUUCAGGACUUCAGGCAUGAGGUCAAUUUGUUAGUGAAACUUCGACACCCCAAUAUAGUUCAGUUUCUUGGAGCUGUCACUGACAGGAAGCCCCUUAUGUUAAUUACUGAGUAUCUGAAAGGGGGUGAUCUUCAUCAGUACCUCAAGGAUAAAGGUGCACUUAGUCCAGCAACAGCUAUCAACUUUUCCAUGGAUAUUGUGAGAGGAAUGGCCUAUCUUCAUAACGAACCAAAUGUUAUAAUUCAUCGGGACCUAAAGCCAAGGAAUGUUCUUUUAGUCAAUACUAGUGCCGACCAUUUAAAAGUUGGAGAUUUUGGAUUGAGUAAGCUUAUCACUGUCCAGAGUUCUCAUGAUGUAUACAAGAUGACCGGUGAAACUGGGAGCUACCGCUAUAUGGCUCCUGAAGUGUUCAAACAUCGGAGAUAUGAUAAGAAGGUUGAUGUGUACUCCUUUGCAAUGAUUUUGUAUGAGAUGCUUGAAGGUGAACCACCUUUUGCAAAUCUCGAGCCUUAUGAUGGAGCAAAACGUGCUGCUGAGGGUCAAAGGCCUUCAUUUCGGUCAAAGGGUUAUAUCAAUGAAUUGCAAGAAUUAACGGAACAGUGUUGGGCUCAUGACGUGAAUCAGAGACCACCCUUCAUAGAGAUCCUUAAACGUCUUGAAAAGAUCAAGGAGAAUUUACAUUCAGAUCAUCACUGGCAUUUGUUUGCAUCAUAAAUGUCUAAUAGCAUUAAUUUGUUCAGAAAUUCAGAUUAUUUAUUUAUCACUACCAUCUGGUUUGCUGCGGCAUUUAUGGAGUGAUUGGGCCAACUGGAAAUCCUGCAAAGUCAAUACUUGUUUUCAACUGUUUGGAUUAAUGAGCAGAACAGGGUUGGCACACCAUUGGAUAAACGUUGGACAUCUCUCCUUAUCAGUCAGUUUAUACCACUUUCAAUAUACAUCUUGAUGCGUUGCAUCACAUCCUGUCCGCAAAACAGUUUCCGUUCCAUCAAACACCUAUUUCCCUCUUUCCAUAUACACCAGAUAAUUGCAAACUACAAUCUAAACCAUAGUUCUUUAUUGAAUACACACUGCCUCUAUGCUGAUAGAAACGUGUUUCUGCUAACUCAGGGAAAACACUAUUA
This is a non-coding RNA of Vigna umbellata (rice bean), 1843 nucleotides long. NCBI's taxonomy places the organism in Eukaryota, Viridiplantae, Streptophyta, Magnoliopsida, Fabales, Fabaceae. The record is from RefSeq and is a predicted model, not a curated record.